UCUGAGGACAGUAUAUUAGGUGGAAUUUUGGACUUAGGAGGUGGAAUAGGAGCUUGCUCCGUCCACUCCACGCAUCGACCUGGUAUUGCAGUACCUCCAGGAACGGUGC
RNAcentral lists this small nuclear RNA (109 nucleotides) under Echinops telfairi (small Madagascar hedgehog). RNAcentral's name for it is "U2 spliceosomal RNA (ENSETEG00000026651.1)". It matches the Rfam family "U2 spliceosomal RNA", at positions 76 to 185 of the family's 192-position model. From Rfam's summary of the family: U2 is a small nuclear RNA (snRNA) component of the spliceosome (involved in pre-mRNA splicing). Complementary binding between U2 snRNA (in an area lying towards the 5' end but 3' to hairpin I) and the branchpoint sequence (BPS) of the intron results the bulging out of an unpaired adenosine, on the BPS, which initiates a nucleophilic attack at the intronic 5' splice site, thus starting the first of two transesterification reactions that mediate splicing. Lineage: Eukaryota; Metazoa; Chordata; Mammalia; Afrosoricida; Tenrecidae. The record is from RNAcentral.